Molecule: ribosomal RNA, 726 nt
Filed under: Triticum aestivum (bread wheat)
Lineage: Eukaryota; Viridiplantae; Streptophyta; Magnoliopsida; Poales; Poaceae
Description: partial small subunit ribosomal RNA
Source: RNAcentral
AUGCUUCUGACCCAACGUGCUGAGAAGGCCGAAACAACCCUUGAAGAGAUUUCAACAGAGCUGAACGGGUUAAAGGGCCGGGUGUCUCAAAUGGUGGCUGCCAUGUUUGGCCCUCGAAGAAAAAAUUUGAGCCAAGACCCUUUGAUUAAACUGAAGGCACUGUAUACUUUGGUAGAACAACUGUAUAUUGGUGCACAGCGGGCUCUUGCCGCCAUCUCUCCUGUCAAUCAAGGACCCAACCGGCUCAGCGACGUCCUGAAGAAACUGUCAAUCCUGCCUGCCAGGUUUCAAGAAGUGAAACGCUCCUGCGCGCGAGUUGGAGCUUUGACUGCCCUGAGCCGCUCCAAGGCUUGGGUGCCAGACCUAGACCCGGCGGACGUGGCAAGAGGCUAUUCCACCGUGAAAGAAGAUGGUUCUCCUUUUGGGCAGGAUGACUUCAUGGCCUGCGUGCGCGGAGUCCGACCUCAGGAAACUACCCCGGGAGAUGACACCAAUAUUGACAAAUACCAGCUGGGUUUUGAUGCUGAAAAUAAGAAGAUGGCCACUCCCUCGUACAAGGUAACAGAUUUGAUUCCACCGGUAAGAGAAGACACAUUUGCCCCGAAAGUUGACCCGGUCGGCCUGAUCGACGACGAAGCCGAAUUUGUCGCCGUGAAUGGUUUUGAUUGGUCAAAACCCAACUUCCAGCCAAUAGAAGGUGGUGAACCGGCGAGGGAGGAACAAUGA